UGUUAUCUUAUUCUGGCCUUAGUCUGCCCGAGGCAAGGCUUACCCAUGACGAGGCAUAUGACCAGUUAAAGGGUCCUCGGUCAGCAGGCCUACAUCGACAAGGUCCUUAAUCGACUCAGACGGAGACACUACACCGGAGACACUACACCGAGAUUCUCUUCUCGUGCAAGUUACCCGCCCGGUCUCAGCUUAAUCUUUUCAACCCAAAAACUUGGUACCUGGCAGAGGUACAUCUUUUCCGAUGUUGAAUCCAUCAUGGCCAUGAUGGAUCCACCAUCAAAUUUUAUUUUCAAAAACAACCCUUCCACUUUGCCAAACAUCUUUUGUAAAACAAAUCCUUUUGUUUUUCUAAAGCGAUACUAAGCAUAGUAAAACCUUUUUGUAAAAACAGGGUUUCAAGGAAGGCAAUCGAGUUCAAGGAAGGUAAUGCAGGAAUUGUUUAAGCAUUCAACUCCUAUCACCUAAUGCAGCAAGCAAGUGAGAAAGAUUUUAAAAACGUCAAGGAAUGUGGCAAAUGCACCGGAGCUUGCCUUCGUUAUCAGGUGAGUCUGGCUUGGAUCCACAAAUAUCAAAGUAGAAGCACUUUCCUGCCUGAGAAUUCGAGGGUGGUGGUGUCUUUUCUUCAGUGACUUCCACUUCUUCUUCGCGUUCUAACAUAACCAUAUAUAUACAUAUAUAAGAAUGAAUGCCAUGUAAUGCUCAUGAGAGUGCGAAGAUAAUAAAGAUUUAUUAUCUAAGUCUUGAAUACAACUUUCCUUCACGGAACUCCGAGAACUUAGGGUUUCCGGAGUCAGUAAAGGAGUUCAAAGGGCAGGGGUGGGGUUUUGGGUUCUAGUUAUCAAACAUGGUCUAAAUCAAUUCAAACUCUACCCAUGGCUCCUAACUAAUGUGUAGAGCUUAUGUAAAAAGUUUGAGCAUUUUUGGGAUUAUUAUCUAUUUUCUAAAAUUCCAGAACUAUUUCUUUAAGCUAUUUUAAAUGCCCUAAAAUUCCCUGUUUAAACUAAGAAUCAUGAAACUAUUUUUAUUAAAUUCUAGGGAAAAUAAGAAACCUAGGAAAAUUGGUUUCACAAUUUUAGGAUUUUUCUAUAUUUUUCCAUGGAUUUCUAAAGUUAUU
Molecule: long non-coding RNA, 1114 nt
Filed under: Zea mays
Lineage: Eukaryota; Viridiplantae; Streptophyta; Magnoliopsida; Poales; Poaceae
Description: long non-coding RNA NONZMAT004582
Source: RNAcentral